RNAcentral lists this ribosomal RNA (905 nucleotides) under Gyalecta ulmi. RNAcentral describes it as "mitochondrial SSU rRNA". It matches the Rfam family "Bacterial small subunit ribosomal RNA", at positions 373 to 1195 of the family's 1533-position model. The record is from RNAcentral. Lineage: Eukaryota; Fungi; Ascomycota; Lecanoromycetes; Ostropales; Gyalectaceae.
UGCCUAGCGGCUGAACCAGCAACUUGGAGGAAUGAAUAGCGAAAGCUUAUUAUAUUAAAUAUUUGAUAUGAUAUAAACUAUGUUAUAUAAAGUUCUAGAUAUAAUUAUGAUAAUGACAUUAUAUAUCUAUAAGUCUUGACUAAGUCACGUGCCAGCAGUCGCGGCAAUACGUGGAAGACAAGUGUUAUUCAUCUUUAAUAGGUUUAUAGGGUACGUAGACAGUGAAUUAAGCCGUAGAAGGUACUAAUUAUACUAGAGUUUGAUGUAAGAAGUGAUUGAAGUACGAUGAGUGUAGCGAUAGAAUGCUGUGAUACCAUUUAGAUACUGAUAGAGGCGAAAGCGACCUUUUAUGUAAAAACUGACGUUAAGGGACGAAGGCUCGAUUAAAGAAUAGGAUUAGAUACCCUAGUAUUGUGAGCAGAGAAUGAUGAAUGUCAUAUGUAAGAUGAAAGUAUUAUAAUUAAAGAUAAAUUAAUAUUUUUAAUUAUUUGCCCUGUUAAUGCUUUAAUGUUUUAAUGUUUUAAUGUUUUAAUGUUUUAAUGUUUUAAUGUUUUAAAGCAUUUAGUAGGUAUAUUAUAUUUAUAUGGGCACUAUAUAUCUUAUGUAUAAAUGAAAGUGUAAACAUUCCACCUUGAGAGUAAUAUGGCAACAUAGAAACUGAAAUCAUUAGACCGUUUCUGAAACCAGUAGUGAAGUAUGUUGUUUAAUUAGAUGUCACACAAAAAACCUUACCACAAUUUGUAUAUUUAUAAAUAUAAAUACAGGCGUUGCACGGUUGUCUUCAGUUGAUGUCGUGAGAUGUUGGUUAGCUCCAUAAAAUUAACGUAAACCCUUACUUUAUUUUUAUAUAUAAAGUAGUUCGCCGCUAUAUUGGUUGUGAUAUAAGGGACCAAGACAAGUCAUCA